This 84-nucleotide non-coding RNA is filed under the name Marinithermus hydrothermalis. RNAcentral describes it as "c-di-GMP sequence". It matches the Rfam family "Cyclic di-GMP-II riboswitch aptamer". RNAcentral also lists the same sequence under 1 other name. The record is from RNAcentral. Lineage: Bacteria; Thermotogati; Deinococcota; Deinococci; Thermales; Thermaceae.
GCUUCCCCUAGCGGCGAGGAAGCCUGUCCUGUACGUGGGCGCCUGGGGCAGGUGGAGCCAGUGGCGCAACCGGCUAGGGGAUCU